RNAcentral lists this transfer RNA (20 nucleotides) under Galium elegans var. angustifolium. RNAcentral's name for it is "partial tRNA-Cys". The record is from RNAcentral. Lineage: Eukaryota; Viridiplantae; Streptophyta; Magnoliopsida; Gentianales; Rubiaceae.
UGGCGGCAUGGCCGAGUGUA